CUAUUAACUGCGUUAUUUACUCAUUAUUGCUACAUUGUAUCAAUGCUUUACAAUUUAAGCCUUUUUUGCCAGUUUCUUUGUAAGUCAUCUUGACACCGCAACCCCUCCCCUUGGUUACGGGGAGACCAUGUUAACACAAUGCUCAUCUACCCUGAUUGGCUUAAGGCCAUACAUGUCACUAUGACGCUACAUUUCCUCCCUUCGAAAUUAUGGUGACCACGUGAGCUUUACGCCCACCUUUCCUGAUUGGUCUCUUCUGAGAUGUGACGAUCGGAUGAACUCCGCCUCUUGAGGAUUCUGAUUGGAGGACGUCAACUUUGGG
Non-coding RNA from Pelobates cultripes (western spadefoot toad), 322 nucleotides. The record is from the annotation of a GenBank genome assembly. Lineage: Eukaryota; Metazoa; Chordata; Amphibia; Anura; Pelobatidae.